This 507-nucleotide ribosomal RNA is filed under the name uncultured bacterium. RNAcentral describes it as "bacterial SSU rRNA". It matches the Rfam family "Bacterial small subunit ribosomal RNA", at positions 19 to 518 of the family's 1533-position model. The record is from RNAcentral.
AUGGCUCAGGAUGAACGCUAGCGACAGGCCUAACACAUGCAAGUCGAGGGGCAGCACAAGGAGUAAUCUGAGGUGGCGACCGGCGCACGGGUGAGUAACACGUAUGCAACCUGCCUUUAAGCGGGGGGAUAACCCGGAGAAAUCCGGACUAAUACCGCAUAAUACCUAUUUACUGCAUGGUAAAUAGUUUAAACAUUUAUGGCUUACAGAUGGGCAUGCGUAUGAUUAGCUGGUUGGUGAGGUAACGGCUCACCAAGGCAACGAUCAUUAGGGGUUCUGAGAGGAAGGUCCCCCACACUGGUACUGAGACACGGACCAGACUCCUACGGGAGGCAGCAGUGAGGAAUAUUGGUCAAUGGGCGAGAGCCUGAACCAGCCAAGUCGCGUGAAAAGGAAGAAGGUUCUAUGGAUUGUAAACUUCUUUUGUAUGGGAAUAAAGUGAGCUACGUGUAGUUUAUUGUAUGUACUGUGCGAAUAAGGAUCGGCUAACUCCGUGCCAGCCGCCGC